RNAcentral lists this long non-coding RNA (1891 nucleotides) under Triticum aestivum (bread wheat). RNAcentral's name for it is "long non-coding RNA (TAES_LNC008982)". The record is from RNAcentral. Lineage: Eukaryota; Viridiplantae; Streptophyta; Magnoliopsida; Poales; Poaceae.
UUCGGAAGGCAAUUCACAAGACACUCUAUUCUCUUCGCUUUCAACCGACUCACAAAAACACAGAAGGAAGAUUAUUCCCGAAGCCGUAACAGCUUCCGGCCACACGACACACGCGUCACAGAGCCUCACCGCAACUCAUCAACACACUCCAUCCGACAGGCACUUCAGCAAGCUUCAUUUCAGCUUCAAGAGUUCAAACAUCCUCGUCCAUGCUGUCCUCGUCCCCGUCCUCCAUCACCCUCAUCUUCUUCACGGCCUUGGCCGCCUCGCCGCCGCCGCCGCCGAGGGCGCCGUUGGGCACCUGGAUGAGGAUGUCGGACCUCUGCCCCGUCUCGGCGUUCACCAGCCCGCCGCUGCGGUCCACCCGGUAGGCCAGCUCGUCCUUGUUGGCGGCGUCGAUGUACACCGUGCAGUUCUCGUCGAUCUCCUCCUGGAUCAGCAUCUUGGACAGCUGCGUCACCACCCGCUUCUCGAUCCACCUCCUGAUCGGCCGAGCGCCAUACACCUGCAACAACAAACAGAGUCAGCGUCCGAGUCCAAAGAAGGUGAAAAAAAAUCAGAAAUUUAGUAGUAGGAUGCAGUCACGUACUGGAUCGUAGGCCAGCGACAGGAUGACGUCCAGCGCGGCGUCGGUGACGGCCAGGGCGACGCCGCGCUCGGCGAGCCGGACGGCCACGUCCUUCAUCUGCAGGCGAGCGACCUUCCUCAGCUGCUCGUGGGACAGCGGGUCGAAGACGACGAUCUCGUCCAGCCGGUUCAGCAGCUCCGGCCUGAAGUGCCUCCUCACCUGCGCACACAACCACACACGAAGUUCAGCAUCACAUUGCAGAUCAGAGGUACAUCGGUGCUUCUGUAGUGGAGAUUGAGCUGAUCCACACAUACAUACCUCCUGCAUGACGAGGUCGCGCGCGACCUUCAUGGAGUUCUUGCCGACCAUCCCGGCGAGGAGGUGCUCGGCGCCGAGGUUGGAGGUCAUGAUGAUCACGGUGUUCCGGAAGUCCACCGUCCUGCCUUGCCCGUCGGUCAGCCGGCCGUCGUCCAGCACCUGGAGGAGCGUGUUGAACACCGCCACGUGCGCCUUCUCCACCUCGUCGAACAGGAUCACGCUGUACGGCCGCCUCCUCACCUGCUCCGUCAGCUGCCCGCCCUCCUCGUGCCCGACAUAGCUGCAUUCACAAGAACAAUUUGUAAUCCCAAAUCAGAACCCAAAUUCAGUCUUUGUUUACGGCUAAAAGAAUGCAGCAAUGAACAAAUUUUAGUGGAAAUCAUCAGUGGCUCAGUGUGCUUACCCAGGUGGCGCUCCGAUGAGGCGAGCGACGGAGUGCUGCUCCAUGUACUCGGACAUGUCGAUGCGGACGAGCAGGUUCUCGUCGUCGAACAGCUGCUCGGCGAGGGCCUUGGCGAGCUCGGUCUUGCCUACGCCGGUCGGGCCCAGGAAGAGGAACGACCCGGUGGGCUGCUGCGGCCGUCCAAGCCCCGCCCUGGACCUCAGCACCGCCUCGGCGACGGCGUUCACGGCCUCCGUCUGCCCGACCACCCUCGUGUGCAGCCUGUCCGCCAUGCCCACCAGCCGCUCCUUGUCGUUCUGCCCGAGCCGGGUCACCGGGAUGCCGGUCCACCGGCUCACCACCUCCGCGAUCUGCUCGGGGCCGACGGUCUCGGUGAGCAUCAGGUUCUCGCCGGUCUCGCCCUCCAGCUUGGCGAUGGCGGCGUCGAUCUCCUGGAGGGCGCCGUACUUGAGGUCGGCGACGCGUGCCAGGUCCAUGCGCCGCUCCGCCUCCUGCAGCGUGAACUGCAGCUCCUCGCGCCGCUGCUUCAGCUUCCGGAUCUCGUCGAUCCGCUCCUUCUCCUUGCGGUACUUCAUGGUCAGCGGCUGCAGCUUGUCCCUCAG